RNAcentral lists this long non-coding RNA (4552 nucleotides) under Canis lupus familiaris (dog). RNAcentral's name for it is "lncRNA (ENSCAFG00000054827.1)". The record is from RNAcentral. Lineage: Eukaryota; Metazoa; Chordata; Mammalia; Carnivora; Canidae.
UCUUUCUUUUGUAAAAAUUUAGAGCCAGCAGGGUUAUGCCGAUGGGCAUUCUAGAGAGCAUUAAGAACUAUUGGUUGAGGGCAUUGGCAGCCCCCAGCUACUUCUAUAACCAUUUCUGGGUCUCUGUCAAGAUCCUGGUAUAAAGAUUUCUUAAUAAAUACAUAAAACCCAGACAAGAGUCCACACUUGGUCUAAAUCAUUAUGAUGACCGUCUUACACUUGCUGACUACCCCAUUAAAUCUCUGCACUGAAGACUAAUGCUUUGAAAGUGUGUGCAUAUGUGUGUAUGUAUGUGUGUUUCUGAACAGAUCUUUUAAUUCAGAAAGUAGAUGACUAUUUUUUUUAAAAGGAGAGUUUCCAGUAGAUAAAGAAAUAUAAGUAAGGAACUAGUGGUCAGGAAAGAACUUAGCUGGAGGUAACAUGUCUGUUUUGUCAGAAGUCAGUAUCUGACCAUCAUCAGCAUAGGGAAAUCUCUGGUUUCUCUUCAAAAGUCUGAGCGCGAUUUUUAACUUUCCUCUGAUGUCUAUUACCAUUACCUGGAUCUCCACAGAGAAAGCUUCAGAUGAUUCAGUAUUUUCUAAAGCUUACUGGAUUUAAUUCUCCCCUUCCCCUUGGUGACUGAAAAGAUUGCAGCCUAUACAUCUGUUGGCCCUCUCCACUACACACCCCACUGACAAAAUCUCUUCCCAUAGUUUUCCAAGGAUAAAUGUAAGUUGCUUCCUAAAAUUAGCAUCCAAUACCACCAGGAACUGAGAAAUGAAGAGUAUUGAGCAAAAAAUUUUCUGUGAAGGCAAGGACCAAAUACAUUCAAAGAACAUUUAAGGGCAGAGGAAGAGAGUUCUGUAUCCAUCCCUUAAGCUUUUUUCUGCUCAUGGAUCUACUCUUCCUCUGGGGAAACUUGUUCUCCCCUCAAAGAACUUGCUUGUUCCAGUCUAACAGUGGACUGUGGACUAUUCUGUUGAUAUGCUAAUUUUCUCUGCAGAUGCUUGCCUUUUCACGUUUAAAGAUUUGUUUAUUAGAGAAAGAGAGAGAGAGAGAAAAGAGAAAGUGAAAGAGGGGAGGGGGGCAGAGGGAGAAGGAGACAGACAAUCUCAAGCAAACUCUGCACUAAGUGCAUAUAGCCCAACAUGGGGCUUGAGCUCAUAACCCUGAGCUCAUGAUCUGAGGGUAAACCAAGAGUUGGAUGCUUAAACCAGGCACCCCUCUUUUUCACAUUUUAAAUGAGCAUAGAAACAAGAAGAGCCCACAUGAGGAAGAAUUCAGAGUGCCUGGCUGAAGUUGCUAGUAGUAAAGCAUAGAGGUCUGGGGGUGUCCAGGCAAGUUAUUUAUCCCAAUUUGCCAUGAACAUUCCACCAGAUUCAGAGGUAAAGUGAUUACUUUCUGAGAAAAGUAUCCUGCAGAGAACUACCAUGAAGGUCUGUUUUUUCAGUGACACAUAUUAGAUUGUUCCCUAAGGUGGGGCAGGAAUAUCUCCCUUAGGAAGCCAUUACUUCCAGGUCGAGCUAUCAGCAAACCAUCCCCCAUCUUUGGUCUAAUUAAACUAUACACAUUUGGGGCGGGGGCAUAAACUAGAGAUGCUGACAUGUCAGCAUUUAUGCUGCUGACACAAAUGUUCUGCAUAGAGCUGAUGUAAAUGGUGCUGACAUAAACCUUCUCCUUGAGAACAGCUGUUAGAGGUGCUUUUUCACUAUCUUCCAGUGGAUUAACUUUCAGCAUUGUCUGGGCUAAGAGGUGAAGCAUCUACUCCUGAUAUUCAGUCCUCUACUAUGACAAAUUAACCUAUUGAUUAUUCAAUUACUUAUUCCUUUCAUGCCAAUAACUACCUAAAUUAGAGCAUGACUCCUUUUAAAGUUCAAUAUUAGAAUAAGAAUGCAGGAAUAAUUAUCUUUGUACUAGUGUCUUAGUGUGCAGGGCUUUACAGAUGACAUUUGGUUUAAGAUGGAAAAUCGAGGCAUGAUUGUUUAUUGUAUAAAAUAAGUUACAUUGUAAUACAGAUUUCAUGUUAAUAUGACUUUUGAACUAUUGAGUUAACUGAGAGUUGCCACUGGUAAGAAUUUUGUAGAUGACUAUGAUGAAAGCUAUAGAUCUUCUUCAGGGAGAAUUGCAUACACACUUAACAUAAUACACACAAAUUUAAGGGGCUCAGGAACUCCUAAAGUUGCCUACAAACCCGAGAUCAAGAACCUCCUUCAUUGUUUCCAUUGAUCAGAGAUGGCAUUUGCCACCUACUUUUGGGGGUACGUUAUCCCCAAAAGAAUUUUCAAAGAUCACAUCUUCACUCAAAGUAUCAUUCUGUAAUAUUAAUACUCAAGAAUGUUGUGAGUUAGCAGGAUCUACUGGCUAUUGGAGGUGAAUUAGUUCAAGUCCUCCAAAAAGCUAUUGUCAAGGCAAGAUUAGAUGUGCAAAAAAUUCAAUGUGGGAAAAUGCCAGUGAAGGAUAAAAGAGGAGGGAGUAGGAGUUGUUAGGUGACCCUCCCUGCCUGGGAACUGAUCUGACACCUGGGAAGAAUCCCAGACCACAGUACUUUUCUAAAAAGUCUCACCCAGGCCAAGUUGGGAGUCCCUGAGCAAAGUCUGCACAUUAGAAGAGUUCCACUUGGGCAGGAUGGCCUGCACCUAGUACCCCACCUGCCCUAGCCCUGCCUGGGAAAAGCCAGGGUGGGGGAAGGGUAGCACUGUGGCAGAUUCAGAGAUGCAGCAACUAGAGACUGUAAGGCAAAUAUGGUCACCAAGAAGGGACUCUUGACAGGGGGUCUAAGCAGUGGUCCUCAUAGCCACCACACAGAAGUAAGAGGAGCUUUGUAGGUACAAAAGUACCAGCUCUUCUUUUUUCUCCCACUGCUUUACAUUUUGAUAGCUGCUACUCUUUGGCCAGUGUGACUCUGCCAGCCGAAGUAUACACAGGGACAGGUAAUAUGAUAUUGUAAAUUUGUGACUUAGUUUCUUGUCUCCAUACAAUACUGUAGCCACUCUAAUUGUUCAAUAAGGGGCUGAGGUGGCGAGAUCAUUAUCCAUAGAGGUUAAAUAUAUCAGCGUUUUUCUACCUUUACCUUUUGUUCUGGGGCACUCAGCAACAACAUUCCUGUUAAAUGGGAAGGGACUAUAUAGUUAAAAAUUGCUGUUUAAGUGUAGAGCCCAGAAUACUCACCAAUGUUUGACAGAAGCCAUGCUAAUAUCUAGUGUCUGUUGGUGGUAUCAGUGGGAUUAAGUCCAAAGAUUGGGGUCCAGUUUUUUUUUUUAAUUUCCCUCCACCCCACCAACCCUGUGACCCCUUUCUUUCACUUGUACUAAAAGACACAGAGAGGAUUCCCUUCCCUAACCUGUAGAGCAGAUUCUGGCCUUCCUCCUCAACCCGAGGGGUGGGUACUGCAUUCUCCAGGGGAGUGAGCUCUACUAGAAGUGGGCUUGGUCAGAGAGGAGGGUUCAAGAGACACAGACAGGAUGAGGAAUGUUAAAGGAGCUCAUCUAUGGUAGGAAAGUUGAAUGCUCCCAGGACUUGGGAGUUUUUGAGAAUUCAUUCAUUCACCAAAAAAAUAGUCAUGGGGCAGUUACUUUGUUUCAGACACUGUUCUAAGUACUUUGGACAUAUAAACAAACAAAAUAAAAUUUCCUACCCUUUGGUAGCUUACAUUCUAGUAGGGAGACAUUAAUAUGUACAUGAACAAAAUACAUAGAUAAAUUAUAUCUAAAUAAAUAUACUUCUAUAAAGCACGGCUUUUCUUAAAAUUGCUUUUUAGCACCAAUUGCCUCAUCUGCUAAUACCAAAAGCAGAGGUCUCUUCCUUCUGUUUUCUUUGCCCCCUUUAGGUUCUUUCAUCUUGCCUUCCUGUUUCUUCCCCAGGGAAGGAAAUACUUCUUUUGCAGAAAUUCAUGAAAAAAGCUUCCAGAAAGUCACUGACAGAGUAAAAUGACCCUGAGUGUAUUAUUUAGUGAAUAUUUUUGAUCUCUGCAAAGUCUGCUUUUUAACUAGACCUUAAUACAUUUUUCUAAAACCAGUUCAGAAAAUAUAUUUAAAACACAACUGGUUAAAACCAAAUUAAAACCCACAGGUAUUUAGUUCUAAAAUCAAUGACAAUAAUAAUAAUAAUAAUAAUAAUAAUAAAAUAAAAUCAAUGACAUUAACCUACCAAAGGCAGGCAUGGCACUGGAUGAAGACAGCCACAAGUCUCACUGAUUAUAAUCUAAAAUACACAGAUAUCCUCAGUAAUAAAUAGGGAAUGAGACAAUAAAAAGUACUCAACUGCGAGGAAGGCAGACAUUUCAAUUUUCCCUUUGCUACAUUAAACAGUACAGCCUGCAAUCUACAGAGACAAGAGGAGAGAGCCAAGUGAGAAAUAAUGACUCCAAGUGCAUAGGACUCACAGUUAAACCCUGACCCUAUUUCGGGGCCCAGCCCUAGAUCAGUAGAGCAUACACAAUUUCAGCUGGAUUUAAUGGAAGUCUUCUUUCCUUUUUCUCCUUCCUUCCUCUCUCCUUUUCCUUUUCCUUUUCCUUUUCCUUUUCCUUUUCCUUUUUUCCUUCCUUCCUUCCUUCCUUCCUUCCUUCCUUCCUUCC